This is a long non-coding RNA of Mastomys coucha (southern multimammate mouse), 499 nucleotides long. RefSeq lists it as uncharacterized. Lineage: Eukaryota; Metazoa; Chordata; Mammalia; Rodentia; Muridae. The record is from RefSeq and is a predicted model, not a curated record. The transcript has 3 exons.
UCCUCCUCCAAGAAAUGGCCUCUGCCAUUCAAACCAGAAGACAGAAUCACAAAAUCCUGACUGAAAAAAAAUGGGGUUAGAAAAAGUGUGGAAACUCUGAAACGUUCCUUCCAAACCCCGAGUCAGUACCAUUAAAAACACCAACACUUUGGGACAGAGGCCUGACUAGAAGGAGGUGGCUGGCAGGAGACACCUUGAACUAACAGCUCAAGGAAGGACACUCUAAUCUGCAAGUCCAGAUGUCAGAGAAGAUCGAGACUUCUGAGUCAGGAGGGCUGCUGUGCUCUGUGAGUACCGCUGUGGCCGAGAAGCCUGUGAGCUGGGAAGAGGAACAGGAGGUCUUAGAAGAGACCAGGCAGCUGUGACUUCCUGCCCCAGACCCGCCUCCCACUCACGUUGGGCAAGUCACCUAACUGCAGCAACCCCUGGGGCUACCUCGAAAACAUAGCUACACCAGCCUCAAGGGCCAUGUGAGGAUUAAACAACAUACAUAGAACCC